CAGAAAAUACAUACAAUGGAAUACGAGAUAUUCUAAUAUGAUAAAGUGCGGUAUAACAACGUGAACAUGGAAGAAAAGUCUUUUAGUCACAUAAAUUACCAAAUACCUAUAAGACUUACAGCACUCCUGGUUUCUCCAGGUAAUAUCGUAACUCCUGGACCCUCGAGACAGAGCGUCGUUGCAUCUGCAUCUAGAAAAAUAAAAUAUGGAAUAAUGUAACCCACAAUAAAGCAAACCAAGUGCAACGUGGGUGACACACAGUGACACAGUUCAGUGAAUAUCGUUAGCCAAUCACCAGUUGAAUAAGUCAGAUAGGUCAGAACAUCCGUAUUCAAAAAAGUAAUCGUCAGAUGGAAAAAAUGAUAGAAGAAUAAUAUUUCACCUAUUUGAAUAUUCAGGAGUAGAAGUGAUGAAAAUCAAGGAACUUCAAGCAUGACCACAAGAAAGAAGACGUUAUGAUAUAACAAUAUGAUAAUAAAGUAUGACGAUGACGUCAAAA
Cephus cinctus (wheat stem sawfly) is the source of this 499-nucleotide long non-coding RNA. RefSeq lists it as uncharacterized. Lineage: Eukaryota; Metazoa; Arthropoda; Insecta; Hymenoptera; Cephidae. The record is from RefSeq and is a predicted model, not a curated record. The transcript has 3 exons.